AACGAACGCUGGCGGCAUGCCUAACACAUGCAAGUCGAACGAGACCUUCGGGUCUAGUGGCGCACGGGUGCGUAACGCGUGGGAACCUGCCCUUAGGUUCGGAAUAACUCCCUGAAAGGGGUGCUAAUACCGGAUAAUGUCUUCGGACCAAAGAUUUAUCGCCUUUGGAUGGGCCUGCGUUGGAUUAGCUAGUUGGUAGGGUAAAAGCCUACCAAGGCGACGAUCGAUAGCUGGUUUGAGAGGAUGAUCAGCCACACUGGGACUAAGACACGGCCCAGACUCCUACGGAAGGGAGGAGAGGGGAAUAUAGUACAAGGGGCGAAAGCGUGAACCAGCAAUGCCGGGUAAGUGAUGAAGGCCGUAGGGUUGUAAAGCUCUUUUACCCGAGGUGAUAAUGACAGUACCGGGAGAAUAAGCACCGGCUAACUCCGUG
This 433-nucleotide ribosomal RNA is filed under the name uncultured bacterium. Its description in RNAcentral is "partial 16S ribosomal RNA". It matches the Rfam family "Bacterial small subunit ribosomal RNA", at positions 29 to 507 of the family's 1533-position model. The record is from RNAcentral.